This 254-nucleotide ribosomal RNA is filed under the name uncultured bacterium. Its description in RNAcentral is "partial 16S ribosomal RNA". It matches the Rfam family "Bacterial small subunit ribosomal RNA", at positions 524 to 776 of the family's 1533-position model. The record is from RNAcentral.
UACGUAGGGUGCGAGCGUUGUCCGGAAUUAUUGGGCGUAAAGAGCUCGUAGGCGGUGUGUCACGUCGGCCGUGAAAACCUGCAGCUUAACUGUGGGCGUGCGGUCGAUACGGGCAUCACUGGAGUUCGGCAGGGGAGACUGGAAUUCCUGGUGUAGCGGUGAAAUGCGCAGAUAUCGGGAGGAACACCGGUGGCGAAGGCGGGUCUCUGGGCCGAUACUGACGCUGAGGAGCGAAAGCGUGGGGAGCAAACAGG